CAGUAGCCGCGGGAAUACGUAGGUGGCAAGCGUUGUCCGGAGUUAUUGGGCGUAAAGCGCGCGCAGGCGGAUCAGUUAGUCUGUCUUAAAAGUUCGGGGCUUAACCCCGUGAUGGGAUGGAAACUGCUGAUCUAGAGUAUCGGAGAGGAAAGUGGAAUUCCUAGUGUAGCGGUGAAAUGCGUAGAUAUUAGGAAGAACACCAGUGGCGAAGGCGACUUUCUGGACGAAAACUGACGCUGAGGCGCGAAAGCCAGGGGAGCGAACGGGAUUAGAGACCCCCGUAGUCCCUGUCUCUUAUACC
RNAcentral lists this ribosomal RNA (301 nucleotides) under uncultured bacterium. Its description in RNAcentral is "partial 16S ribosomal RNA". It matches the Rfam family "Bacterial small subunit ribosomal RNA", at positions 509 to 808 of the family's 1533-position model. The record is from RNAcentral.